RNAcentral lists this RNase P RNA (399 nucleotides) under Leptolyngbya sp. 15MV. Its description in RNAcentral is "RNase P RNA component class A". It matches the Rfam family "Bacterial RNase P class A". From Rfam's summary of the family: Ribonuclease P (RNase P) is a ubiquitous endoribonuclease, found in archaea, bacteria and eukarya as well as chloroplasts and mitochondria. Its best characterised activity is the generation of mature 5'-ends of tRNAs by cleaving the 5'-leader elements of precursor-tRNAs. Cellular RNase Ps are ribonucleoproteins. The record is from RNAcentral. Lineage: Bacteria; Bacillati; Cyanobacteriota; Cyanophyceae; Leptolyngbyales; Leptolyngbyaceae.
CCAGAUGGCUGGGCGACCGCUGGUCCUUCGGGGCUGGAGGAAAGUCCGGGCUCCACGGGAAGACGGUGCCGGCUAACGGCCGGCGGGCGAGAGCCCAGGGAAAGUGCCACAGAGAGCAGACCGCCGCGGCGCCGCGUCCCUCGGGGCCAGGCUUCGCGGCAAGGGUGAAAGGGUGGGGUAAGAGCCCACCGCGCCCCCGGCAACGGGGGCGGCAUGGCAACCCCCACCGGGAGCAAGGCCGAAUAGGGGCGGCCGGCGAGGCGCAAGCCGUCGCAGGGGCAUUCCCGCCCCGCCGCCCGGGUUGGCCGCGUGAACCCUGCCGCAAGGCAGGGUCCAGAGGAAUGGUCGUCCACGGUCGCAAGACCCGGACAGAACCCGGCUUACAGGCCAUCUGGUGUG